UUAGGGAGACCGGCUGGCUGUAGACCCAACCCAAAAAAAGGUCACAGACCAGACAUCCCAAGGUCGUUCGAGGCAAAAAAGUUGAGCUUUCAAACUAUUAGUGGUUCGGUGCAUGGGCUAUUAGCUCAGGUGGUUAGAGCGCACCCCUGAUAAGGGUGAGGUCCCUGGUUCGAGUCCAGGAUGGCCCACCUCUAAAAAAGGGAGUGGGUAGAGUUCAGCAAAGAACAAGCCAAGCCAACCCGAGGAAUUUUGGGAAAACUGAAACAUCAGCACCGAUGCUUGCGAAAAACUAAGCAAGUAAGACUGCUGGAUGUUAAGUCCAGUAAGAACCUUGAAAACUGCAUAGCAAUAGGAAACAAAGCCGAGUCGAGCGUGAAAACCUGAAGUUCAGGAAAAGAAGCUCGGCUCAGUGUCCAAGAAAACCAAUGU
Molecule: transfer RNA, 429 nt
Filed under: Pycnacronema sp. B-Tom
Lineage: Bacteria; Bacillati; Cyanobacteriota; Cyanophyceae; Coleofasciculales; Wilmottiaceae
Description: partial 16S-23S ribosomal RNA intergenic spacer
Rfam family: tRNA (bases 115-188)
Source: RNAcentral